Molecule: long non-coding RNA, 529 nt
Organism: Carya illinoinensis
Lineage: Eukaryota; Viridiplantae; Streptophyta; Magnoliopsida; Fagales; Juglandaceae
Exons: 2
Source: RefSeq, a predicted model, not a curated record
ACAAAAAGUCUACUUGUACUCGGCGUGGGAAACCCCGCGUGCCCAUCCCUCCACAUGAAAAUUUUGAAACAGCGCAUUUUGUGUUUAACCUAAACAACAGGUUCGUCUACCCACGAACAGAGCAUGAAGGGCUCGGUCUUCUUCUCAUCUUCUUGACUACACGUGGUUGAAUACAGUUUUUUCUGAACGAGUAUCCACUGGGCAUAAGUUUGCAACUCGAUUGGGUAAUGUGUUCAACAUUGGCACGGGGACAACAAAGCCAUUGGUAGUUGAAUUGAAAACCAGACAGGGUACAAAAAGCAAAGAAUAUUCAAACAAGGAAAAAAAACAGACGAGUGGAGAAGAAACAUGAAGAAGAAGAAAACCGUUUUUUUGUUUCCACUGUUCAAAAUAUGGAAAGAGAAUGGAAGUGUUAUCGUGGCCAACAAUUUGAUCUGCAUGAUUUGGGGCUUUCGUCGCCUGGGAUUGGAUCUUCUGCAUAGAUAGAUUCAAAAAAAAAAAAAAAAUCAUUCCUAAACAGUUACCCAAA